Molecule: ribosomal RNA, 376 nt
Filed under: uncultured bacterium
Lineage: Bacteria
Description: bacterial SSU rRNA
Rfam family: Bacterial small subunit ribosomal RNA
Source: RNAcentral
UAAGACGGAGGGUGCAAGCGUUGUUCGGAAUUACUGGGCGUAAAGGGCGCGUAGGCGGUCUGUUAAGUUCGGUGUGAAAUCCCCCGGCUCACCUGGGGAACUGCGCCGGAAACCGACAGACUCGAGUACCGGAGAGGAGGGUGGAAUUCCUGGUGUAGCGGUGAAAUGCGUAGAUAUCAGGAGGAACACCGGUGGCGAAGGCGGCCCUCUGGACGGAUACUGACGCUGAGGCGCGAAAGCGUGGGGAUCAAACAGGAUUAGAUACCCUGGUAGUCCACGCUGUAAACGAUGGGAGCUAGGUGUGGGAGGUAUUGACCCUUCCGUGCCGCCGCUAACGCAUUAAGCUCCCCGCCUGGGGAUUACGGCCGCAAGGUUA